RNAcentral lists this ribosomal RNA (389 nucleotides) under Dinophyceae sp. RNAcentral's name for it is "partial small subunit ribosomal RNA". It matches the Rfam family "Eukaryotic small subunit ribosomal RNA", at positions 582 to 975 of the family's 1831-position model. The record is from RNAcentral. Lineage: Eukaryota; Dinophyceae.
AUUCCAGCUCCAAUAGCGUAUAUUAAAGUUGUUGCGGUUAAAAAGCUCGUAGUUGGAUUUCUGCUGAGGACGACCGGUCCGCCCUCUGGGUGAGUAUCUGGCUUGGCCUUGGCAUCUUCUUGGAGAACGUAGCUGCACUUGACUGUGUGGUGCGGUAUCCAGGACUUUUACUUUGAGGAAAUUAGAGUGUUUCAAGCAGGCACACGCCUUGAAUACAUUAGCAUGGAAUAAUAAGAUAGGACCUUGGUUCUAUUUUGUUGGUAUCUAGAGCUGAGGUAACGAUUAAUAGGGAUAGUUGGGGGCAUUCGUAUUUAACUGUCUGAGGUGAAAUUCUUGGAUUUGUUAAAGACGGACUACUGCGAAAGCAUUUGCCGAGGAUGUUUUCAUUA